GGUUUGGUUUGGGUGUCUUCAGAUUUCCUUGUCUGUAGGUCCUCACAGUUACUCUACAACUCAGAACAGCAACUGCUGAGGCUGCCUUGGGGAGAGGAUGAUCCUAAACAAAGCUCUGAUGCUGGGGGCCCUCGUCCUGACCACUGCGAUGAGCCCCUGUGGAGGUGAAGACAUUGUGGCUGACCACGUUGCCGCUUACGGUAUAAACUUGUACCAGUCUUACGGUCCCUCUGGCCAGUACACCCAUGAAUUCGAUGGAGAUGAGCAGUUCUACGUGGACCUGGGAAGAAAGGAGACUAUCUGGCAGUUGCCUAUGUUCAGCAAAUUUAUAAGUUUUGACCCACAGGGCGCACUGACAAACAUCGCUACGGCAAAAUACAACUUGGACAUCCUGAUUAAACAGUCCAACUCUACCGCUGCUUCCAAUGAGGUUCCUGAGGUCACAGUGUUUUCCAAGUCUCCCGUGGCGCUGGGUCAGCCCAACACCCUCAUCUGCCUGGACAACAUCUUUCCUCCUGUGAUCAACAUCACUUGGUUUUAAAAUGGACGCUUAGUUCCAGAAGGUAUUUCCGAGACAACUUUCUACUCCAUGAGUGACCGCUCCUUCCUCGGGCUCAGUUACCUCACUUUUCUCCCCUCCAUUGAUGAUUUUUAUGACUACAAGAUGGAGCACUGGGGCCUGGAAGAGUCACUCCUCAAGCACUGGGAACCUGAGAUUUCCACCCCUAUGUCAGAGCUGACAGAGACCAUUUGGUGUAAAGCAAAUCUGCAACCUCAAGUUGGUUGCAGGCCUCGUGGGCAUUCUGAUGGGCACCAUCCUCAUUAUCUGAGGCAUGAUUCAGGUCAUCCCUGAGAAUGGAAGACCUCAUGUCAGAAUUUUAGCAGAUGUAUCAGCCCCUUAUCUCAGGUCAUAUUGA
This is an RNA transcript of Sapajus apella (tufted capuchin), 917 nucleotides long. It is a transcript of the gene named HLA class II histocompatibility antigen, DQ alpha 2 chain-like, with no coding region annotated. Lineage: Eukaryota; Metazoa; Chordata; Mammalia; Primates; Cebidae. The record is from RefSeq and is a predicted model, not a curated record. The transcript is spliced from 6 exons.